UACAGGGGGGGCAAGCGUUGUUCGGAAUCACUGGGCGUAAAGGGUUUGUAGGUGGCUUGCUAAGUCAGACGUGAAAUCCCUCAGCUUAACUGGGGAACUGCGUCUGAUACUGGCGAGCUUGAGUGCAGGAGAGGAACGCGGAAUUCCAGGUGUAGCGGUGAAAUGCGUAGAUAUCGUCAAGAACACCGAUAGCGAAGGCAGCUUACUAGGCUGUAACUGACGCUGAUGCACGAAAGUGUGGGGAUCAAACAGG
This 253-nucleotide ribosomal RNA is filed under the name uncultured bacterium. RNAcentral describes it as "partial 16S ribosomal RNA". It matches the Rfam family "Bacterial small subunit ribosomal RNA", at positions 524 to 776 of the family's 1533-position model. The record is from RNAcentral.